CGCCGCGUGGAGGAUGAAGUAUCUCGGUACGUAAACUACCUUUCGUAUGGGGAAGGAUGAUGACGGUACCCACUAGAAGAAGCCCCGGCUAACUUCGUGC
This 100-nucleotide ribosomal RNA is filed under the name uncultured bacterium. RNAcentral's name for it is "partial 16S ribosomal RNA". The record is from RNAcentral.